RNAcentral lists this ribosomal RNA (255 nucleotides) under uncultured bacterium. RNAcentral describes it as "partial 16S ribosomal RNA". It matches the Rfam family "Bacterial small subunit ribosomal RNA", at positions 57 to 305 of the family's 1533-position model. The record is from RNAcentral.
GCAAGUCGAGGGGCAGCAUAAUGGAUAGCAAUAUCUAUGGUGGCGACCGGCGCACGGGUGCGUAACGCGUAUGCAACCUACCUUUAACAGGGGGAUAACACUGAGAAAUUGGUACUAAUACCCCAUAACAUUAUGAAAGGCAUCUUUUAUGGUUGAAAAUUCCGAUGGUUAGAGAUGGGCAUGCGUUGUAUUAGCUAGUUGGUGAGGUAACGGCUCACCAAGGCGACGAUACAUAGGGGGACUGAGAGGUUAACC